AUGUACAUUUCUGCAAUGUUAAUGCACUAGAUCCCAUCAAAACUUCAUAGUUAAGCACACUUGGGAUAGAGUAAUAAUGGGAUGGGUUACCUCCUGGGAAGUCCUAGUGUUUUACAUU
This is a non-coding RNA of Picea glauca (white spruce), 118 nucleotides long. Lineage: Eukaryota; Viridiplantae; Streptophyta; Pinopsida; Pinales; Pinaceae. The record is from Rfam.